UUACAGCGGGAGGGUAUCCUGGACUGUAUUUCCCCUGCAUGGUCAGCAGCGCACCUCCAUUGAGUCUGCAUGUGUUUAAUCUGAUGGCUCUGUUGGCUGGCCUCUGUUAUAGGUUAUAAGUAUAGCUGCCUGUGCUUCCACCACGAGCACUUGGGGUGUCUUGUGGCAAGACUGAGCUAGCUCUGAAGCUGACUCCCUCUUCUCACUCCCUGCCUUUUCUCCCUUACUUUUUGCAGAAAAGGUGUGAGCGGUACUGGGCCCAGGAGCAGGAGCCACUGCAGACCGGGCUUUUCUGCAUCACUCUGAUAAAGGAGAAGUGGCUGAAUGAGGACAUCAUGCUCAGGACCCUCAAGGUCACAUUCCAGAAGGAGUCCCGUUCUGUGUACCAGCUACAGUAUAUGUCCUGGCCAGACCGUGGGGUCCCCAGCAGUCCUGACCACAUGCUUGCCAUGGUGGAGGAAGCCCGUCGCCUCCAGGGAUCUGGCCCUGAACCCCUCUGUGUCCACUGCAGUGCGGGCUGUGGGCGAACAGGCGUCCUGUGCACCGUGGAUU
This 552-nucleotide small RNA is filed under the name Pongo abelii (Sumatran orangutan). Its description in RNAcentral is "retained intron". Lineage: Eukaryota; Metazoa; Chordata; Mammalia; Primates; Hominidae. The record is from RNAcentral.